Molecule: unclassified non-coding RNA, 352 nt
Filed under: soil metagenome
Description: partial contains 5.8S ribosomal RNA, internal transcribed spacer 2, and large subunit ribosomal RNA
Rfam family: 5.8S ribosomal RNA (bases 1-120)
Source: RNAcentral
GAUGAAGAACGUAGUGAAAUGCGAAAAGUAAUGUGAAUUGCAGAAUUCAGUGAAUCAUCGAAUCUUUGAACGCACAUUGCGCCCGCUGGUACUCCGGCGGGCAUGCCUGUCCGAGCGUCAUUUCAACCCUCAAGCCCUCCUUCGGGAUGGGCCUGGUGUUGGGGCUCGGCCGCCAUCUCCGGCGGCCGUCCCCUAAAUACAGUGGCGGUCACGUCGCGACUCCUUUGCGUAGUAGAAACACCUCGCUCCGGAUAGCAACGCGGUCCACGCCGUAAAACCCCCAAUUUUCAAUGGUUGACCUCGGAUCAGGUGGGAAUACCCGCUGAACUUAAGCAUAUCAAUAAGCGGAGGA